GAUGAACGCUGGCGGCGUGCCUAAUACAUGCAAGUCGAGCGAACAGACGAGGAGCUUGCUCCUCUGACGUUAGCGGCGGACGGGUGAGUAACACGUGGAUAACCUACCUAUAAGACUGGGAUAACUUCGGGAAACCGGAGCUAAUACCGGAUAAUAUAUUGAACCGCAUGGUUCAAUAGUGAAAAACGGUUUUGCUGUCACUUAUAGAUGGAUCCGCGCCGCAUUAGCUAGUUGGUAAGGUAACGGCUUACCAAGGCAACGAUGCGUAGCCGACCUGAGAGGGUGAUCGGCCACACUGGAACUGAGACACGGUCCAGACUCCUACGGGAGGCAGCAGUAGGGAAUCUUCCGCAAUGGGCGAAAGCCUGACGGAGCAGCGCCGCGUGAGUGAUGAAGGUCUUCGGAUCGUAAAACUCUGUUAUUAGGGAAGAACAAAUGUGUAAGUAACUAUGCACGUCUUGACGGUACCUAAUCAGAAAGCCACGGCUAACUACGUG
This 497-nucleotide ribosomal RNA is filed under the name uncultured bacterium. Its description in RNAcentral is "partial 16S ribosomal RNA". It matches the Rfam family "Bacterial small subunit ribosomal RNA", at positions 28 to 507 of the family's 1533-position model. The record is from RNAcentral.